RNAcentral lists this transfer RNA (73 nucleotides) under Candidatus Calescibacterium sp. RNAcentral describes it as "tRNA-Ile". It matches the Rfam family "tRNA". Rfam says of the family: Transfer RNA (tRNA) molecules are approximately 80 nucleotides in length. The record is from RNAcentral. Lineage: Bacteria; Candidatus Calescibacteriota; Candidatus Calescibacteriales; Candidatus Calescibacteriaceae.
GGGCCCAUAGCUCAGCGGCUAGAGCGUACCCCUGAUAAGGGUAAGGUCUCCGGUUCGAGUCCGGAUGGGCCCA